AGUCGUAACAAGGUAUCCGUAGGUGAACCUGCGGAUGGAUCAUUAACAAAGCUAUGCUGAGUGUUUUACCACGCUCCAGCGCCGCUAUACCACCAAAUGUGAACUGUUUUGAAACAUUAGCCGUCGGCGUGUGAUGGGGUGUAAUAACCAUUAUAGUCAUCUGCCGGCGGUGAUACACAAACACCAUAACACUAAAAACUUAAUACGCGCAUACCUAGUAGAAAAAUUCUAUAUACAACUUUUAGCAACGGAUCUCUAGGCUCUU
Molecule: unclassified non-coding RNA, 265 nt
Filed under: fungal sp.
Lineage: Eukaryota; Fungi
Description: partial internal transcribed spacer region
Rfam family: Eukaryotic small subunit ribosomal RNA (bases 1-45)
Source: RNAcentral